AAUUAACAGGAUUUACGCAGGCGCGCUCCUUAAUUGAACUAUACCCCAGAAGUUAUGGUGGUCGUCGCCUACUCUCCUCGACCCCGCCCGAUGUACGUAACCUUAAUGUCCUUGCGGUAUUCUAUAUAAUGACUACAUACAAAAGGUCGGUUUUAUGAAUCAUGUUGACGUUUUGGCGAGUUCGAAAUAACGACAAAAAGCAUUAAAAAAAUUGUCAUUUUUGAGUGUUAUUAUUAUAUCAUUAUGUUUAAAAACAAAACUGACAUAUUUUACACGAUAGAUGGGCCACUGUUGUA
Molecule: non-coding RNA, 296 nt
Organism: Cinara cedri
Lineage: Eukaryota; Metazoa; Arthropoda; Insecta; Hemiptera; Aphididae
Source: the annotation of a GenBank genome assembly